This 870-nucleotide ribosomal RNA is filed under the name uncultured soil bacterium. RNAcentral describes it as "bacterial SSU rRNA". It matches the Rfam family "Bacterial small subunit ribosomal RNA", at positions 63 to 948 of the family's 1533-position model. The record is from RNAcentral.
CCUGAUCGACUCUACCUUCGGGGGUACUCGAGCGGCGAACGGGUGAGUAACACGUGAGCAACCUGCCCCUAGCACCGGGAUAGCUCCGGGAAACCGGAAUUAAUACCGGAUAUGACCAUGGAGGGCAUUCUCCAUGGUGGAAAGGAUUCCGGCUAGGGAUGGGCUCGCGGCCUAUCAGCUAGUUGGUGGGGUAACGGCCCACCAAGGCGACGACGGGUAGCCGGCCUGAGAGGGCGACCGGCCACACUGGGACUGAGACACGGCCCAGACUCCUACGGGAGGCAGCAGUGGGGAAUAUUGCGCAAUGGGCGAAAGCCUGACGCAGCGACGCCGCGUGGGGGAUGACGGCCUUCGGGUUGUAAACCCCUUUCAGCAGGGACGAAGCGAAAGUGACGGUACCUGCAGAAGAAGCGCCGGCUAACUACGUGCCAGCAGCCGCGGUAACACGUAGGGCGCAAGCGUUGUCCGGAAUUAUUGGGCGUAAAGAGCUCGUAGGCGGUCCGUUGCGUCCGCUGUGAAAACCCGGGGCUUAACCCCGGGCCUGCAGUGGAUACGGGCGGACUAGAGGCAGGUAGGGGAGAAUGGAAUUCCCGGUGUAGCGGUGAAAUGCGCAGAUAUCGGGAGGAACACCGGUGGCGAAGGCGGUUCUCUGGGCCUGACCUGACGCUGAGGAGCGAAAGCGUGGGGAGCGAACAGGAUUAGAUACCCUGGUAGUCCACGCCGUAAACGUUGGGCGCUAGGUGUGGGGUCUUUCCACGGAUUCCGUGCCGUAGCUAACGCAUUAAGCGCCCCGCCUGGGGAGUACGGCCGCAAGGCUAAAACUCAAAGGAAUUGACGGGAGCCCGCACAAGCGGCGGAGCAUGUUGCUUA